This 477-nucleotide ribosomal RNA is filed under the name uncultured bacterium. RNAcentral describes it as "partial 16S rRNA". The record is from RNAcentral.
GCACGUAGUUAGCCGGGACUUCUUCUGCAGGUACCGUCAGUUUCCCUUCGUCCCUGCCGAAAGGGGUUUACAACCCGAAGGCCUUCAUCCCCCACGCGGCGUCGCUGCGUCACGCUUUCGCGCAUUAGCGCAAGAUCCCCCACUGCUGCCUCCCGUAGGAGUCUGGGCCGUGUCUCAGUCCCAGUGUGGCUGGCCGUCCUCUCAGACCAGCUACCCGUCGUCGCCUUGGUGGGCCGUUACCCCACCAACAAGCUGAUAGGCCGCGGGCCCAUCCCGGACCGUCGGAGCUUUCCCGGCGCGACCAUGCGAUUGCGCCGGAGUAUCCGGUAUUAGCUCAGGUUUCCCUGGGUUAUCCCGGUGUCCGGGGCAGGUUGCCCACGUGUUACUCACCCGUUCGCCGCUCUCCCCUCGGAAGGGUUACCCCUCCUGAGGUUCCCGCUCGACUUGCAUGUGUUAGGCACGCCGCCAGCGUUCGUC